CCGUACCUACGGGAAGGCAGCAGUAGGGGAAUACUUCGGGCAAUGGGGGCAACCCUGACCGAGCAACGCCGCGUGAGUGAAGAAGGUUUUCGGAUCGUAAAGCUCUGUUGUAAGUCAAGAACGGGUGUGAGAGUGGAAAGUUCACACUGUGACGGUAGCUUACCAGAAAGGGACGGCUAACUACGUGCCAGCAGCCGCGGUAAUACGUAGGUCCCGAGCGUUGUCCGGAUUUAUUGGGCGUAAAGCGAGCGCAGGCGGUUUGAUAAGUCUGAAGUUAAAGGCUGUGGCUCAACCAUAGUUCGCUUUGGAAACUGUCAAACUCGAGUGCAGAAGGGGAGAGUGGAAUUCCAUGUGUAGCGGUGAAAUGCGUAGAUAUAUGGAGGAACACCGGUGGCGAAAGCGGCUCUCUGGUCUGUAACUGACGCUGAGGCUCGAAAGCGUGGGGAGCGAACAGGAUUAGAUACCCUGGUAGUCCACGCCGUAAACGAUGAGUGCUAGGUGUUGGAUCCUUUCCGGGAUUCAGUGCCGCAGCUAACGCAUUAAGCAC
Molecule: ribosomal RNA, 547 nt
Filed under: uncultured bacterium
Lineage: Bacteria
Description: bacterial SSU rRNA
Rfam family: Bacterial small subunit ribosomal RNA
Source: RNAcentral